GUAGGCGGAUGUGUAAGUCAGAGGUGAAAGCCCGGGGCCCAACCCCGGAACUGCCUUUGAAACUACACAUCUCGAGACUCGGAGGGGUUGGCGGAAUUCCUAAUGUAGGGGUGAAAUCCGUAGAUAUUAGGAGGAACACCUGUGGCGAAGGCGGCCAACUGGACGAGUACUGACGCUGAGACGCGAAAGCGUGGGGAGCAAACAGGAUUAGAUACCCUGGUAGUCCACGCCGUAAACGAUGAGUGCUAGCUGUUGGGUCCUUGAGGCUCGGUGGCGCAGCUAACGCAUUAAGCACUCCGCCUGGGGAGUACGGUCGCAAGAUUAAAACUCAAAGGAAUUGACGGGGACCCGCACAAGCGGUGGAGCAUGAGGUUUAAUUCGAGGCAACGCGAAGAACCUUACCAGCUCUUGCAUCCUGAUCGCGGAUCGUGGAGACACGUUCCUUCAGUUCGGCUGGAUCAGUGACAGGUGGUGCACGGCUGUCGUCAGCUCGUGUCGUGAGAUGUUGGGUUAAGUCCCGCAACGAGCGCAACCCUCGUCCUUAGUUGCCAGCACUUCGGGUGGGAACUCUAAGGAGACUGCCGGCGUUAAGCCGGAGGAAGGUGGGGACGACGUCAAGUCAUCAUGCCCCUUACGGGCUGGGCUACACACGUGCUACAAUGGUAGUGACAGAGAGUUAACCUCUAAAAACUACCUCAGUUCGGAUUGUCUUCUGCAACUCGAAGGCAUGAAGUUGGAAUCGCUAGUAAUCGCAGGUCAGCAUACUGCGGUGAAUACGUUCCCGGGUCUUGCACACA
Molecule: ribosomal RNA, 797 nt
Filed under: uncultured Alphaproteobacteria bacterium
Lineage: Bacteria; Pseudomonadati; Pseudomonadota; Alphaproteobacteria
Description: bacterial SSU rRNA
Rfam family: Bacterial small subunit ribosomal RNA
Source: RNAcentral